RNAcentral lists this transfer RNA (73 nucleotides) under Ailuropoda melanoleuca (giant panda). It matches the Rfam family "tRNA". Rfam says of the family: Transfer RNA (tRNA) molecules are approximately 80 nucleotides in length. Their secondary structure includes four short double-helical elements and three loops (D, anti-codon, and T loops). Lineage: Eukaryota; Metazoa; Chordata; Mammalia; Carnivora; Ursidae. The record is from Rfam by way of RNAcentral.
GUGCUGCUGGCUCAGUUGGUAGAGCAUGUGACUCUUGAUCUUGGGGUUCUGAGUUCAAGCCUCAGGGUGGGCA